AACGAACGCUGGCGGCAGGCUUAACACAUGCAAGUCGAACGCCCCGCAAGGGGAGUGGCAGACGGGUGAGUAACGCGUGGGUAUGUGCCCAAAGGUUCGGAACAACUCCGGGAAACUGGAGCUAAUACCGAAUGUGACCGAGAGGUGAAAGAUUUAUCGCCUUUGGAUCAGCCCGNGUUGGAUUAGCUAGUUGGUGGGGUAAAGCCUACCAAGGCGACGAUCCAUAGCUGGUCUGAGAGGACGACCAGCCACACUGGGACUGAGACACGCCAGACUCCUACGGAGGCAGCAGUGGGGAAUCUUGGACAAUGGGCGAAAGCCUGAUCCAGCCAUGCGCGUGGAUGAU
This 346-nucleotide ribosomal RNA is filed under the name uncultured bacterium. RNAcentral's name for it is "bacterial SSU rRNA". It matches the Rfam family "Bacterial small subunit ribosomal RNA", at positions 29 to 409 of the family's 1533-position model. The record is from RNAcentral.